RNAcentral lists this ribosomal RNA (1436 nucleotides) under uncultured organism. Its description in RNAcentral is "SSU rRNA". It matches the Rfam family "Bacterial small subunit ribosomal RNA". The record is from RNAcentral.
AGGCUUAACACAUGCAAGUCGAGGGGCAGCAUGGUCUUAGCUUGCUAAGGCCGAUGGCGACCGGCGCACGGGUGAGUAACACGUAUCCAACCUGCCGUCUACUCUUGGACAGCCUUCUGAAAGGAAGAUUAAUACAAGAUGGCAUCAUGAGUCCGCAUGUUCACAUGAUUAAAGGUAUUCCGGUAGACGAUGGGGAUGCGUUCCAUUAGAUAGUAGGCGGGGUAACGGCCCACCUAGUCUUCGAUGGAUAGGGGUUCUGAGAGGAAGGUCCCCCACAUUGGAACUGAGACACGGUCCAAACUCCUACGGGAGGCAGCAGUGAGGAAUAUUGGUCAAUGGGCGAGAGCCUGAACCAGCCAAGUAGCGUGAAGGAUGACUGCCCUAUGGGUUGUAAACUUCUUUUAUAAAGGAAUAAAGUCGGGUAUGCAUACCCGUUUGCAUGUACUUUAUGAAUAAGGAUCGGCUAACUCCGUGCCAGCAGCCGCGGUAAUACGGAGGAUCCGAGCGUUAUCCGGAUUUAUUGGGUUUAAAGGGAGCGUAGAUGGAUGUUUAAGUCAGUUGUGAAAGUUUGCGGCUCAACCGUAAAAUUGCAGUUGAUACUGGAUAUCUUGAGUGCAGUUGAGGCAGGCGGAAUUCGUGGUGUAGCGGUGAAAUGCUUAGAUAUCACGAAGAACUCCGAUUGCGAAGGCAGCCUGCUAAGCUGCAACUGACAUUGAGGCUCGAAAGUGUGGGUAUCAAACAGGAUUAGAUACCCUGGUAGUCCACACGGUAAACGAUGAAUACUCGCUGUUUGCGAUAUACAGCAAGCGGCCAAGCGAAAGCGUUAAGUAUUCCACCUGGGGAGUACGCCGGCAACGGUGAAACUCAAAGGAAUUGACGGGGGCCCGCACAAGCGGAGGAACAUGUGGUUUAAUUCGAUGAUACGCGAGGAACCUUACCCGGGCUUAAAUUGCAGAUGAAUUACGGUGAAAGCCGUAAGCCGCAAGGCAUCUGUGAAGGUGCUGCAUGGUUGUCGUCAGCUCGUGCCGUGAGGUGUCGGCUUAAGUGCCAUAACGAGCGCAACCCUUGUUGUCAGUUACUAACAGGUUCCGCUGAGGACUCUGACAAGACUGCCAUCGUAAGAUGUGAGGAAGGUGGGGAUGACGUCAAUCAGCACGGCCCUUACGUCCGGGGCUACACACGUGUUACAAUGGGGGGUACAGAGGGCCGCUACCACGCGAGUGGAUGCCAAUCCCAAAAACCUCUCUCAGUUCGGACUGGAGUCUGCAACCCGACUCCACGAAGCUGGAUUCGCUAGUAAUCGCGCAUCAGCCACGGCGCGGUGAAUACGUUCCCGGGCCUUGUACACACCGCCCGUCAAGCCAUGGGAGCCGGGGGUACCUGAAGUGCGUAACCAAGAGGAGCGCCCUAGGGUAAAACUGGUGACUGGGGCUAAG